This 440-nucleotide ribosomal RNA is filed under the name uncultured bacterium. RNAcentral's name for it is "partial 16S ribosomal RNA". It matches the Rfam family "Bacterial small subunit ribosomal RNA", at positions 338 to 795 of the family's 1533-position model. The record is from RNAcentral.
CCUACGGGAGGCUGCAGUGGGGAAUAUUGCACAAUGGGGGAAACCCUGAUGCAGCGAAGCCGCGUGAGUGAAGAAGUAUUUAGGUAUGUAAAGCUCUAUCAGCAGGGAAGAAAAUGACGGUACCUGACUAAGAAGCCCCGGCUAACUACGUGCAAGCUGCCGCGGGAAUACGUAGGGGGCCAGCGUUAUCCGGAUUUACUGGGGGUAAAGGGAGGGUAGACGGCCAGACAAGUCAGCAGGGAAAGCCCAGGGCUCAACCCUGGGACUGCUGUUGAAACUGCCUGGCUGGAGUGCAGGAGAGGUAAGCGGAAUGCCUAGUGUAGCGGUGAAAUGCGUAGAUAUUAGGAGGAACACCAGUGGCGAAGGCGGCUUACUGGACUGUAACUGACGUUGAGGCUCGAAAGCGUGGGGAGCGAACAGGAUUAGAUACCCUAGUAGUC